Molecule: long non-coding RNA, 545 nt
Organism: Sinocyclocheilus grahami
Lineage: Eukaryota; Metazoa; Chordata; Actinopteri; Cypriniformes; Cyprinidae
Exons: 3
Source: RefSeq, a predicted model, not a curated record
AAGGACAAGAAGGACACGAAAAGGAAGAAAGACAAGAAGAGUAAAAAGGACUCAGGAAAGUCUUCACGAUCAGAAAACCAUGACGACAAGCAUGAGAAAGCCAAAUCAGCUGAUAAGGAUGGAGAAAACUCCUUGCUGAAGAUUGAAGGAGAGUCAGGGGGUUUGGGGUCAUCCAGCAUGAGAGAUUACAGCUGUGGCUCUCAGAUUUCUUCAUCUCUAGUUUACUCCAGCCUGCCUUCUGAAACCCUGAGCCACACAGAGAGCAGCAGCGCCUCCCGCAGGCCUCUGACUGCCAUAGAGAGCCUGAUGGGACAUCCUCAGAGAAACACACUGGGGACAGACAGAGUCACGGCCAGCAGAUACACCUCACACUUCACAUCGUAAGAAACACUUACACAAAAGCACCAUGGCAGUACCAUGUUUUUUGGGGUUUAGAGUGCUGCAGUGAUGACGUAUGUUUGUAUGACUCCUACAUGAUUCUUACAUCACAUAUGUGUCCCUGCAGCACAAAAGCAGUCAUAAGUAGCACAGGUAUAUUUGUAGUA